RNAcentral lists this ribosomal RNA (463 nucleotides) under uncultured bacterium. Its description in RNAcentral is "partial 16S ribosomal RNA". It matches the Rfam family "Bacterial small subunit ribosomal RNA", at positions 28 to 507 of the family's 1533-position model. The record is from RNAcentral.
GACGAACGCUGGCGGCGUGCUUAACACAUGCAAGUCGAACGGAAAGGCCUUUUCGGAGGUACUCGAGUGGCGAACGGGUGAGUAACACGUGGGUGAUCUGCCCUGCACUCUGGGAUAAGCCUGGGAAACUGGGUCUAAUACCGGAUAGGACCGCACUUUAGUGUGUGUGGUGGAAAGUUUUUUCGGUGUAGGAUGAGCCCGCGGCCUAUCAGCUUGUUGGUGGGGUAAUGGCCUACCAAGGCGGCGACGGGUAGCCGGACUGAGAGGUUGGUCGGCCACAUUGGGACUGAGAUACGGCCCAGACUCCGACGGGAGGCAGCAGGGGGGAAUAUUGCACAAUGGGCGCAAGCCUGAUGCAGCGACGCCGCGUGGGGGAUGACGGCCUUCGGGUUGUAAACUCCUUUCGCCAGGGACGAAGCGUUUUGUGACGGUACCUGGAGAAGAAGCACCGGCUAACUACGUG